RNAcentral lists this ribosomal RNA (477 nucleotides) under uncultured bacterium. RNAcentral's name for it is "partial 16S ribosomal RNA". It matches the Rfam family "Bacterial small subunit ribosomal RNA", at positions 30 to 507 of the family's 1533-position model. The record is from RNAcentral.
AUGAACGCUGGCGGCGUGCCUAACACAUGCAAGUCGAACGGAGUCCAGCCUUUAAGACCUUCGGGUCAAAGAGGGGAAGACUGAGUGGCGGACGGGUGAGUAACACGUGGGCAACCUGGCUCGUAGAGGGGGAUAACAGAGAGAAAUUUCUGCUAAUACCGCAUAAGCACACACUGCCGCAUGGCAGAGGGUGAAAAGAGAAUCGCUAUGAGAUGGACCCGCGUCUGAUUAGCCAGUUGGCAGGGUAAGAGCCUACCAAAGCGACGAUCAGUAGCCGAUCUGAGAGGAUGAACGGCCACAUUGGGACUGAGACACGGCCCAAACUCCUACGGGAGGCAGCAGUGGGGGAUAUUGCACAAUGGGGGGAACCCUGAUGCAGCGACGCCGCGUGAGUGAAGAAGUAUUUCGGUAUGUAAAGCUCUAUCAGCAGGGAAGAUAAUGACAGUACCUGAAUAAGAAGCCCCGGCUAACUACGUG